UCGCCUGUUUAUCAAAAACAUGUCUUUUUGAAAAUAAUAAAAAGUCUAAUCUGCCCACUGAAUUUAUUUAAAGGGCUGCAGUAUAUUGACUGUACAAAGGUAGCAUAAUCAAUAGUCUUUUAAUUGAAGACUUGUAUGAAUGAUUUGAUGAAAUAUGAACUGUCUCUUUUUUAAAAAUAAAAUUUAAUUUUUUAGUUAAAAAGCUAAAAUAAUUAUAAAAGACGAGAAGACCCUAUAGAGUUUUAUAGUUAUUUAAUUUAAAAAUUUUAUAUAUAAUUUAAAUUUAAAAUUAAUUAAUUAUUUUAUUGGGGUGAUAGAAAAAUUAAAAAAACUUUUUUUAAAAAUUUAACAUUAAUUUAUGAAAUUAUGAUCCAUAAUUUAUGAUUAAAAGAAUCAAUUACCUUAGGGAUAACAGCGUAAUUUUUUUUUUUAGUACAAAUAAGAAAAAGAGUUUGCGACCUCGAUGUUGGAUUAAGAUAAAAUUUAAAUGCAAAAGUUUAAAAUUUUUGAUCUGUUCGAUCAUUAAAAUCUUACAUGAUCUGAGUUCAAACCGGAG
This is a ribosomal RNA of 556 nucleotides. It matches the Rfam family "Archaeal large subunit ribosomal RNA", at positions 1888 to 2690 of the family's 2987-position model.